This 182-nucleotide ribosomal RNA is filed under the name Paenibacillus validus. RNAcentral describes it as "partial 16S ribosomal RNA". It matches the Rfam family "Bacterial small subunit ribosomal RNA", at positions 1354 to 1533 of the family's 1533-position model. Lineage: Bacteria; Bacillati; Bacillota; Bacilli; Caryophanales; Paenibacillaceae. The record is from RNAcentral.
AUGCCGCGGUGAAUACGUUCCCGGGUCUUGUACACACCGCCCGUCACACCACGAGAGUUUACAACACCCGAAGUCGGUGGGGUAACCGCAAGGAGCCAGCCGCCGAAGGUGGGGUAGAUGAUUGGGGUGAAGUCGUAACAAGGUAGCCGUAUCGGAAGGUGCGGCUGGAUCACCUCCUUUCU